AACCUCGAGGCAAGGACCUUGGCGUGUUGCGGUCGGUCGCUAAAAUGAAAUGUCGUAACGACUCUCGGCAACGGAUAUCUCGGCUCUCGCAUCGAUGAAGAACGUAGCGAAAUGCGAUACUUGGUGUGAAUUGCAGAAUCCCGUGAACCAUCGGUUUUUGAACGCAAGUUGCGCCCGAAGCCGUUAGGCCGAGGGCACGUCUGCCUGGGCGU
RNAcentral lists this ribosomal RNA (212 nucleotides) under Boehmeria nivea var. tenacissima. Its description in RNAcentral is "5.8S ribosomal RNA". The stretch from base 60 to 212 matches the Rfam family "5.8S ribosomal RNA". Rfam says of the family: 5.8S ribosomal RNA (5.8S rRNA) is a component of the large subunit of the eukaryotic ribosome. It is transcribed by RNA polymerase I as part of the 45S precursor that also contains 18S and 28S rRNA. Lineage: Eukaryota; Viridiplantae; Streptophyta; Magnoliopsida; Rosales; Urticaceae. The record is from RNAcentral.